UUCAAGUGCGUAGGCUUGAGAGUUAGGUAAAUCCGGCUCUCUUUAAGGCUGAGACACGACGUCGAGCUGCUACGGCAGUGAAGUCAUUGAUGCCAUGCUUCCAGGAAAAGCCUCUAAGCUUCAGAUAGUCAGGAAUCGUACCCCAAACCGACACAGGUGGUCGGGUAGAGAAUACCAAGGCGCUUGAGAGAACUCGGGUGAAGGAACUAGGCAAAAUGGUACCGUAACUUCGGGAGAAGGUACGCUCUUGAUGGUGAAGUCCCUCGCGGAUGGAGCUGACGAGAGUCGCAGAUACCAGGUGGCUGCAACUGUUUAUUAAAAACACAGCACUGUGCAAAAUCGCAAGAUGACGUAUACGGUGUGACGCCUGCCCGGUGCCGGAAGGUUAAUUGAUGGGGUUAGCGCAAGCGAAGCUCUUGAUCGAAGCCCCGGUAAACGGCGGCCGUAACUAUAACGGUCCUAAGGUAGCGAAAUUCCUUGUCGGGUAAGUUCCGACCUGCACGAAUGGCGUAAUGAUGGCCACGCUGUCUCCACCCGAGACUCAGUGAAAUUGAAAUCGCUGUGAAGAUGCAGUGUACCCGCGGCUAGACGGAAAGACCCCGUGAACCUUUACUACAGCUUGGCACUGAACAUUGAACCUACAUGUGUAGGAUAGGUGGGAGGCUAUGAAGACGUGACGCCAGUUGCGUUGGAGCCGUCCUUGAAAUACCACCCUUGUAUGUUUGAUGUUCUAACUUAGACCCAUUAUCUGGGUUGAGGACAGUGCCUGGUGGGUAGUUUGACUGGGGCGGUCUCCUCCCAAAGAGUAACGGAGGAGCACGAAGGUGGGCUAAUCACGGUUGGACAUCGUGAGGUUAGUGCAAUGGCAUAAGCCCGCUUAACUGCGAGAAUGACGGUUCGAGCAGGUGCGAAAGCAGGUCAUAGUGAUCCGGUGGUUCUGUAUGGAAGGGCCAUCGCUCAACGGAUAAAAGGUACUCCGGGGAUAACAGGCUGAUACCGCCCAAGAGUUCAUAUCGACGGCGGUGUUUGGCACCUCGAUGUCGGCUCAUCACAUCCUGGGGCUGAAGUCGGUCCCAAGGGUAUGGCUGUUCGCCAUUUAAAGUGGUACGCGAGCUGGGUUUAGAACGUCGUGAGACAGUUCGGUCCCUAUCUGCCGUGGGCGUUGGAAGAUUGAAGGGGGCUGCUCCUAGUACGAGAGGACCGGAGUGGACGAACCUCUGGUGUUCGGGUUGUGUCGCCAGACGCAUUGCCCGGUAGCUAAGUUCGGAAUUGAUAAGCGCUGAAAGCAUCUAAGCGCGAAGCGAGCCCUGAGAUGAGUCUUCCCUGACAGUUUAACUGUCCUAAAGGGUUGUUCGAGACUAGAACGUUGAUAGGCAGGGUGUGUAAGCGUUGUGAGGCGUUGAGCUAACCUGUACUAAUUGCCCGUGAGGCUUAACCAU
RNAcentral lists this ribosomal RNA (1439 nucleotides) under Vibrio cholerae. Its description in RNAcentral is "partial 23S ribosomal RNA". It matches the Rfam family "Bacterial large subunit ribosomal RNA", at positions 1511 to 2925 of the family's 2925-position model. Lineage: Bacteria; Pseudomonadati; Pseudomonadota; Gammaproteobacteria; Vibrionales; Vibrionaceae. The record is from RNAcentral.